GAUGAAGAACGUAGUGAAACGUGAUAUGUAAUGUGAAUUGCAGAAUUCAGUGAAUCAUCGAAUCUUUGAACGCACAUGGCGCCUUCCAGUAUCCUGGGAGGCAUGCCUGUCCGAGCGUCGUUUCAACCCUCGAGCCCCCGUGGCCCGGCGUUGGGGAUCUGCCCAGGCAGUCCCCGAAAACCAGUGGCGGACCCGUUACAGGCCCUUCCCUUGCGUAGUAGCAUUCGCCUCGCAUCGGGAGCCGGCGGGCUUCCAGCCUCUAAACCCCCAUCAAGUCCGCCCCGGCGGCACCAAGGUUGACCUCGGAUCAGGUAGGAAUACCCGCUGAACUUAAGCAUAUCAAUAAGCGGAGGA
RNAcentral lists this unclassified non-coding RNA (354 nucleotides) under soil metagenome. RNAcentral's name for it is "partial contains 5.8S ribosomal RNA, internal transcribed spacer 2, and large subunit ribosomal RNA". The stretch from base 1 to 120 matches the Rfam family "5.8S ribosomal RNA", at positions 35 to 154 of the family's 154-position model. The record is from RNAcentral.